CCUAAUACAUGCAAGUCGAGCGAACGGACGAGAAGCUUGCUUCUCUGAUGUUAGCGGCGGACGGGUGAGUAACACGUGGAUAACCUACCUAUAAGACUGGGAUAACUUCGGGAAACCGGAGCUAAUACCGAAUAAUAUUUUGAACCGCAUGGUUCAAAAGUGAAAGACGGUCUUGCUGUCACUUAUAGAUGGAUCCGCGCUGCAUUAGCUAGUUGGUAAGGUAACGGCUUACCAAGGCAACGAUGCAUAGCCGACCUGAGAGGGUGAUCGGCCACACUGGAACUGAGACACGGUCCAGACUCCUACGGGAGGCAGCAGUAGGGAAUCUUCCGCAAUGGGCGAAAGCCUGACGGAGCAACGCCGCGUGAGUGAUGAAGGUCUUCGGAUCGUAAAACUCUGUUAUUAGGGAAGAACAUAUGUGUAAGUAACUGUGCACAUCUUGACGGUACCUAAUCAGAAAGCCACGGCUAACUACGUGCCAGCAGCCGCGGUAAUACGUAGGUGGCAAGCGUUAUCCGGAAUUAUUGGGCGUAAAGCGCGCGUAGGCGGUUUUUUAAGUCUGAUGUGAAAGCCCACGGCUCAACCGUGGAGGGUCAUUGGAAACUGGAAAACUUGAGUGCAGAAGAGGAAAGUGGAAUUCCAUGUGUAGCGGUGAAAUGCGCAGAGAUAUGGAGGAACACCAGUGGCGAAGGCGACUUUCUGGUCUGUAACUGACGCUGAUGUGCGAAAGCGUGGGGAUCAAA
Molecule: ribosomal RNA, 743 nt
Filed under: uncultured Staphylococcus sp.
Lineage: Bacteria; Bacillati; Bacillota; Bacilli; Caryophanales; Staphylococcaceae
Description: bacterial SSU rRNA
Rfam family: Bacterial small subunit ribosomal RNA
Source: RNAcentral